CUUAAAUACCACAUUAAAUUAACAACAUAAAUAAAAUAAUAAGACCUAAAAUUAUUAAUUAAACCAUUUUUCCGCCUAAGUACGGGAGACGAAAAAGGUUCCAUAAGCAAUAGAAAAAGUACCGCAAGGGAAUGCUGAAAGAGCAAUGAAAUAAGUCAUUUAAGCAUAAAAAAGCAGAGACAAAGCUC
This 188-nucleotide ribosomal RNA is filed under the name Kichulchoia multifasciata. Its description in RNAcentral is "partial large subunit ribosomal RNA". Lineage: Eukaryota; Metazoa; Chordata; Actinopteri; Cypriniformes; Cobitidae. The record is from RNAcentral.